Molecule: ribosomal RNA, 392 nt
Filed under: uncultured bacterium
Lineage: Bacteria
Description: partial 16S ribosomal RNA
Rfam family: Bacterial small subunit ribosomal RNA
Source: RNAcentral
AUACGGAGGAUCCGAGCGUUAUCCGGAUUUAUUGGGUUUAAAGGGUGCGCAGGCGGCCAUUUAAGUCAGCGGUUAAAUCGUGGGGCUCAACCCCAUUCUGCCGUUGAUACUGGGUGGCUUGAUUGCGGUCGAGGUUGGCGGAAUUCGUUGUGUAGCGGUGAAAUGCAUAGAUAUGACGAAGAACGCCGAUUGCGUAGGCAGCUGACCAGACCGCAAAUGACGCUCAUGCACGAAAGUGCGGGGAUCGAACAGGAUUAGAUACCCUGGUAGUCCGCACAGUAAACGAUGAAUACUUGUUUUCGGCGAUAUAAUGUCGGAGGCAAAGCGAAAGCGAUAAGUAUUCCACCUGGGGAGUACACCGGCAACGGUGAAACUUAAAGGAAUUGACGGGG